UCGAGCGGACCGACGGGAGCUUGCUCCCUUAGGUCAGCGGCGGACGGGUGAGUAACACGUGGGUAACCUGCCUGUAAGACUGGGAUAACUCCGGGAAACCGGGGCUAAUACCGGAUGCUUGAUUGAACCGCAUGGUUCAAUUAUAAAAGGUGGCUUUCAGCUACCACUUGCAGAUGGACCCGCGGCGCAUUAGCUAGUUGGUGAGGUAACGGCUCACCAAGGCGACGAUGCGUAGCCGACCUGAGAGGGUGAUCGGCCACACUGGGACUGAGACACGGCCCAGACUCCUACGGGAGGCAGCAGUAGGGAAUCUUCCGCAAUGGACGAAAGUCUGACGGAGCAACGCCGCGUGAGUGAUGAAGGUUUUCGGAUCGUAAAACUCUGUUGUUAGGGAAGAACAAGUACCGUUCGAAUAGGGCGGUACCUUGACGGUACCUAACCAGAAAGCCACGGCUAACUACGUGCCAGCAGCCGCGGUAAUACGUAGGUGGCAAGCGUUGUCCGGAAUUAUUGGGCGUAAAGCGCGCGCAGGCGGUUUCUUAAGUCUGAUGUGAAAGCCCCCGGCUCAACCGGGGAGGGUCAUUGGAAACUGGGGAACUUGAGUGCAGAAGAGGAGAGUGGAAUUCCACGUGUAGCGGUGAAAUGCGUAGAGAUGUGGAGGAACACCAGUGGCGAAGGCGACUCUCUGGUCUGUAACUGACGCUGAGGCGCGAAAGCGUGGGGAGCGAACAGGAUUAGAUACCCUGGUAGUCCACGCCGUAAACGAUGAGUGCUAAGUGUUAGAGGGUUUCCGCCCUUUAGUGCUGCAGCAAACGCAUUAAGCACUCCGCCUGGGGAGUACGGUCGCAAGACUGAAACUCAAAGGAAUUGACGGGGGCCCGCACAAGCGGUGGAGCAUGUGGUUUAAUUCGAAGCAACGCGAAGAACCUUACCAGGUCUUGACAUCCUCUGACAACCCUAGAGAUAGGGCUUCCCCUUCGGGGGCAGAGUGACAGGUGGUGCAUGGUUGUCGUCAGCUCGUGUCGUGAGAUGUUGGGUUAAGUCCCGCAACGAGCGCAACCCUUGAUCUUAGUUGCCAGC
RNAcentral lists this ribosomal RNA (1080 nucleotides) under Bacillus licheniformis. Its description in RNAcentral is "bacterial SSU rRNA". It matches the Rfam family "Bacterial small subunit ribosomal RNA", at positions 62 to 1122 of the family's 1533-position model. The record is from RNAcentral. Lineage: Bacteria; Bacillati; Bacillota; Bacilli; Caryophanales; Bacillaceae.